RNAcentral lists this ribosomal RNA (580 nucleotides) under uncultured Dechloromonas sp. RNAcentral describes it as "bacterial SSU rRNA". It matches the Rfam family "Bacterial small subunit ribosomal RNA", at positions 73 to 649 of the family's 1533-position model. The record is from RNAcentral. Lineage: Bacteria; Pseudomonadati; Pseudomonadota; Betaproteobacteria; Rhodocyclales; Azonexaceae.
GGGGACUUCGGUCCGCCGGCGAGUGGCGAACGGGUGAGUAAAGUAUCGGAACGUACCUUUCAGUGGGGGAUAACGUAGCGAAAGUUACGCUAAUACCGCAUAUUCUGUGAGCAGGAAAGCGGGGGAUCGCAAGACCUUGCGCUGAUUGAGCGGCCGAUAUCAGAUUAGCUAGUUGGUGGGGUAAAGGCCUACCAAGGCGACGAUCUGUAGCGGGUCUGAGAGGAUGAUCCGCCACACUGGAACUGAGACACGGUCCAGACUCCUACGGGAGGCAGCAGUGGGGAAUUUUGGACAAUGGGGGCAACCCUGAUCCAGCCAUGCCGCGUGAGUGAAGAAGGCCUUCGGGUUGUAAAGCUCUUUCGGCCGGGAAGAAAUCGCACAGGCUAAUACCCUGUGUGGAUGACGGUACCGGAAUAAGAAGCACCGGCUAACUACGUGCCAGCAGCCGCGGUAAUACGUAGGGUGCGAGCGUUAAUCGGAAUUACUGGGCGUAAAGCGUGCGCAGGCGGUUUCGUAAGACAGAGGUGAAAUCCCCGGGCUCAACCUGGGAACUGCCUUUGUGACUGCGAGGCUAGAGUAC